AGCAAGGCUGCGGGCUGGAAAUGGAAACCCAAUGGGAGUGACGUCUAAAUAUGAAAAUGCAACUGCGAGUCCAGCAUUAGCAAUUAAUCGACUGCACAUGUUAAAAACCAGACCUGAAUAACCCUAAACACGGCUCCAAGGAAGCCAACACCAAAACAGCAGCAAAAGCCAGUAUGGGAGAUGAGAGAAACCCUCUCCUCAUGUGGCUGCUCCCUUAUGGACAGGCUCACUGCACUCUCUUCUAGCUCUUUACAGGAUUAAGAGCGAGUGACAGGGAAACAACGCGGGACGAGGAUGGAGCAGAGCUGGGCGCCUGGCUGAGCUGCCCACACGCACGGACCCAGGCCCCUCGGGCAGUGCCCAGCAGUGGGGUCCACAACCCCACAUCCAUUGUUGGUAGGUCAGGGUGGCCCCAUCUUCAUUUUAAGCCUUGAGCGACGUUUUGCAACUGCUGAAGCAAUUAAAAAAAAAAAAAAAAAAAAGAGGGUGGUGAUAAAUCAGGAGAAGGGUCAAAAGCUCCAGCUACAUCCUGACUCGACUCACAGAAGUCACUAGAUAUACGGUUUCUGAGAGCAGCGGGAGUCCAUCAGUCAGCGUUCAGACACGAUGUGACAUCUGGGAGGCCACCACCGACCCCGCCGAGCAGCCUCCCUGUCCCCGGGCUGCUAUUUCAAACGGAGACACGGCCCGGUGCGAAAGCAGCCGCAGCGACCCGCCAUCAACGAGACGCCGCUUCCAGGAACCGAUGACAACGCGAAUCCCACGGGGGCAGUCAAAAUGUCAGAUAAGAUGCAGAGUAUUCAUUACCUCCUCCGACAGCCAGAGCCAGCUGGAGGCUGGGAAGCAGAGGUUUCCCCGUGCAGAGCCUGCCCGUCGCCGCUCUGCCGUGGAUCAGCUUUGAACCCGGAGGUGCUGCGGGCUGAACGGCAGAGCACAGCCUUGGCUUCUUGGAAAUAAAGAGGAUUCUGUGCACAAGAAAGAGCCGAGCAUGUGUUCCUUUAUAAACUGCCCAACGCUGCUGUGCACUGGCAGCAGCCUUCCUCAGAUGUGGCUGACUUUCAGCUGUUACUAUAUUCAGAGCUUGUAAAAUGCUUUGGGAUGAUAAAAAUCACUGCAGAAAUGGUUACUGAAACUGUUUCCAGGAAAUCGAUCUGUGGAGACAGCGAAAGAGAAAGUCUUGGAUUUUCACAAAAGCUUCGACUAGACAAAUACCGCAGCUCAGGAAGUUUGGUUUCCUUGUCUUUUCGGCAAUAAACAUGAGCUGCACCGGGGUUUUAUUCCAUUCGCAGUGAACAAAACGAGCUAAGUCACGGAGCUCUCCGCAAAGCUACAAAGGCUCAGCACGUCCACGGCACCGCCCCGGAGCUCGAGCAGACGCCGUCCCUCGCCACCGAGCUGCCCACCAGGCUGCAGACCCAACGGAGGGAGAUGAGAGGGGCUGGAGGACAGUGCUGAGCGAUUUGGGAGGAAAUCCCCAGCUACAAAUUCCCAUUCAUUUGUGGAACACGAGCGUGCCUUGUCCUGGCACAGCCUUGGCCACAAAGACAGGGCGAGCCACAGAGCCGGCCGGAGACGAGGUGAAGGAACUGCCUUGAGACAAACCGGGCGACGCAGGAAUCUCGAAUAGUUUGCACUUUUCAACACAGCCCAACCCUCAGAUCGAGAGGGAGCCUGUUCCAACAGUGGCAGAAAACCCCUCGGGGUCACCUGGAGCUGGGGGCUUUCCGGCUCAAGCUGUGGAUUUGUUUGGGUUCCUGCUUCGCCCCAUUGGGUUUUGUGAUUACUGAUUGUCUGGAUCGAGGUCCCAGGCUAACGAAAUGCACGCUGCAGGAACAGUGCUUUUAUACGUGGAAAUAACGCAAGCCAUCUUCAGAGCGUGUUGAGCUUCCUCCUCCUCCAAACUCAGUGCCAGGAAGCAGCGUGCUCGGAGUUGGACGAGCUACAGGAAACACAAGCAAGUCAUCUGCUUGCGUCCCAGCGGCUUCCUCCAAGGAUCUGCCGUCAAGUUUCGGGCUGGUCACCCCCUCUCCACCCCUCAGUCAGAGCUGAUUAGAUGCAGCCACAGAGUCAAACUCCAACAUAUUCAUCUCAUUUGGCAGCUCUGCAGUUAGACUAUUAGCUCCAAGCUUUUUCCCUCUCCCUCCUUCUUGUUCAAUUAUCUGGCUUCAUCUUUAUUCCGUUUCCAGGAACACUUAGCAACAGGCUCUUGCAAUCAGCCGCCAGCAGGCGAGGAUCUGAGGAGCAGAUUCGGCAGUUGCUGAUGACCUUUUACUACACUCAUGCAAAUUUUAAAGAAAGUAUGUGAACAAUUUGCCUUUUAAGUAUCCUCUGGUUCCAUUCUCCACGAGUUAAUUCUCCUUCUGUUUUAGAGGCAUCGCAAACACCAGAUCUUAGGAUUUUACACUAAUGAGAACAAAACCCGCGGCUUAAUUUCCGUUUAUUUGGUGGAAUUUUGUUCCGUAUCUCACGUGGGAUCAGACAUUGGGAUCAGACCUCGAACAGGCGAAAAUUCGUCGGCACCACCUACCCGACCACACCUCUGAACACCAAACCCUGGCUGCGACCCCAGGACUCCUCUCCGCAGCAGGACAAAGCACGGGUGCUUCUCUUGGCCUCUGGCUUUUACUGGCAGAAAUCUGAAGCCUUCGCUCCAGGACACCCCAAGGGUACGUCUGGGGCCUGGCACAGCCUGCGGCGUCCCAAGGAAAAUCCAGCAGCUGUGAUCUCAUGGGUUAGAGCUUCUCAGCCAAGGCAGAGACAAAUGAGCAGGUCGGUGGUGACAGACAUUCCCAGGGGACUCGCCGUGGAGAUGCCAGGGGAGCUCCUGCCAAGUCCGGGGACUUAGGCAAGCGUUUCUGAGGACCUCUCCACGUCAGAAACAACGCACCAAACACCGCGAGGCUCCCAGAGGCUGGCAGCACCGACAGCCCUGUAGAUGGGAAGCAGGUAAACAGCAAACCUGGCUCUGGCAGAUCCCAACACGCAGCAGUCUUGGCAGCUGUGUCAACUCGUACCGGCAGCUGACCAGGCUGGGCGUUCAGCGGACGUAAAUCCCAGGAGCUUUCCUGCAUCUUCCCUGUUGCUCGGGGGCAGAUGCUCAUUACGCACACAGAGCACAUCAAAGGGCAGGAAGCGCAGGACAGCCGCCCCGCCACCGCACCCCGGGGCACGCGUACCGCCGGACCUGGCUACGGCCGCCCGCUGCGCUCGCCCCGAUCCUGCACAGAACAAGAGUCUGAUAGCGGCCCUUGAAGGAGACAGAAAUCCUCAGACCUGAAGGCUUGUGGUCUGGCAGCUGCUGCAGUGCCACAUCUUCACCUCCGAGCUCCGGCGUGGCUGCAGAGGGAGCCCAGCAACGGGGUGAGCCCGAGGGGGACGCCUGCCCUCGACCGAACGCUGCCACGUGGGCCGAGUGUCCAAGCAGUGCUUCCAGAAAAAGGUGAGUUUCCGGUCCUGGGAAUCGGCCGAGGGGCUCCCGGGCUUCAGAUCGGGCUCCCACCCUCUCCAGUGCCACUGGGGACUCCGGAAGAUGAAGUGCUCUGGGUGCAUCCCCACGCGACCUGCCACACGCCCCAACAAAACGUCACCGCAGCAGCGGUGUCAGCAGCAGAUUAAACGAGGUUGGGACCCCAGGCUGCCCGUCAUCAUAAAACACCACCCUGUAACCACCAAGGACUGUGAAAUA
Molecule: long non-coding RNA, 3685 nt
Organism: Cygnus olor (mute swan)
Lineage: Eukaryota; Metazoa; Chordata; Aves; Anseriformes; Anatidae
Exons: 2
Source: RefSeq, a predicted model, not a curated record